GCUCCGUUGGUGAACCAGCGGAGGGAUCAUUACCGAGUUUUCUACUCCCAAACCCCUGUGAACUUAUACCUUUACCGUUGCUUCGGCGGGUUAACGCCCCGGAAAGGCCCCCGAAAGGGAGCCGCCCCGGAACCAGGCGCCCGCCGGGGGACCCAAACUCUUGUAUUUUCUUACCUAGCAUGUCUGAGUGGAAUCAUAAACAAAUGAAUCAAAACUUUCAACAACGGAUCUCUUGGUUCUG
Molecule: unclassified non-coding RNA, 241 nt
Filed under: plant metagenome
Description: partial contains small subunit ribosomal RNA, internal transcribed spacer 1, and 5.8S ribosomal RNA
Source: RNAcentral